UAUAUAAAUAUAUAUAAAUAGAAAUCUUAAUAAAAUAUUAAAAUAAAAUCUUAACUAAAUCUUAGUCAAAACCUAAUCAAACCUUGAUCAAAUUUUAGUCAAAUCUUAGUCAAACCUUAAUCAAAUUCUUUUCAAAUCCUAGUCUAAUCCUAAAUAAAUCUUAACCAAAUUUUAGACAAAUCCUAGUCAAAUCCUAAUCAAAUCUUUUAAAAAUUUUAAAUAAAUCCUAAUCAAAUCCUAAAUAAAUCCUAGUCAAAUCCCAGAAAAAUCUUUGUCAAAUCCUAAACAAAUCAUAAUCAAAUCUUAAUUGAUCUUUAUCAAUCUUAAAAAAUCUUAAUCAAAUCCUAAUCAAAUCUUAAAAAAAUCUUAAUCAAAUCCUAAUCAAAUCCUAAAUAAAUCCUAGUCAAAUUCUAAACAAAUCCUAACCAAAUCUUAAUCAAAUCCUAAAUAAAUCCUAAUCAAAUCCUAAAUAAAUCCUAAUCAUAUCCUAAUCAAAUCUUAAAUCAAAUCCAAAUUCUAAAUCAAAUCUUAAAUCAAACCUUAAAUCCUAAUCAAAUCUCAAUCCUAACCAAAUC
This 575-nucleotide long non-coding RNA is filed under the name Physcomitrium patens. RNAcentral describes it as "long non-coding RNA (PPAT_LNC013794)". The record is from RNAcentral. Lineage: Eukaryota; Viridiplantae; Streptophyta; Bryopsida; Funariales; Funariaceae.